This 468-nucleotide ribosomal RNA is filed under the name uncultured bacterium. Its description in RNAcentral is "partial 16S ribosomal RNA". It matches the Rfam family "Bacterial small subunit ribosomal RNA", at positions 28 to 507 of the family's 1533-position model. The record is from RNAcentral.
GACGAACGCUGGCGGCGUGCUUAACACAUGCAAGUCGAACGGAAAGGCCCUGCUUUUGUGGGGUGCUCGAGUGGCGAACGGGUGAGUAACACGUGAGUAACCUGCCCUGGACUUUGGGAUAACUUCAGGAAACUGGGGCUAAUACCGGAUAGGAGCUCCUGCUGCAUGGUGGGGGUUGGAAAGUUUCGGCGGUUGGGGAUGGACUCGCGGCUUAUCAGCUUGUUGGUGGGGGAGUGGCUUACCAAGGCUUUGACGGGUAGCCGGCCUGAGAGGGUGACCGGCCACAUUGGGACUGAGAUACGGCCCAGACUCCUACGGGAGGCAGCAGUGGGGAAUAUUGCACAAUGGGCGGAAGCCUGAUGCAGCAACGCCGCGUGCGGGAUGACGGCCGUCGGGUUGUAAACCGCUUUCGCCUGUGACGAAGCGUGAGUGACGGUAAUGGGUAAAGAAGCACCGGCUAACUACGUG